RNAcentral lists this ribosomal RNA (1237 nucleotides) under Arthrobacter sp. RNAcentral describes it as "bacterial SSU rRNA". It matches the Rfam family "Bacterial small subunit ribosomal RNA", at positions 31 to 1286 of the family's 1533-position model. The record is from RNAcentral. Lineage: Bacteria; Bacillati; Actinomycetota; Actinomycetes; Micrococcales; Micrococcaceae.
GGGCGGAGCGGCGUGCUUACCAUGCAAGUCGAACGAUGACUUUUGUGCUUGCACAAAAUGAUUAGUGGCGAACGGGUGAGUAACACGUGAGUAACCUGCCCUUAACUUCGGGAUAAGCCUGGGAAACUGGGUCUAAUACCGGAUACGACGUCCUGACGCAUGUCAUGGACGUGGAAAGCUUGAUGCGGUUUUGGAUGGACUCGCGGCCUAUCAGCUAGUUGGUUGGGGUAAUGGCCCACCAAGGCGACGACGGGUAGCCGGCCUGAGAGGGUGACCGGCCACACUGGGACUGAGACACGGCCCAGACUCCUACGGGAGGCAGCAGUGGGGAAUAUUGCACAAUGGGCGAAAGCCUGAUGCAGCGACGCCGCGUGAGGGACGAAGGCCUUCGGGUUGUAAACCUCUUUCAGCAGGGAAGAAGCGAAAGUGACGGUACCUGCAGAAGAAGCGCCGGCUAACUACGUGCCAGCAGCCGCGGUAAUACGUAGGGCGCAAGCGUUAUCCGGAAUUAUUGGGCGUAAAGAGCUCGUAGGCGGUUUGUCGCGUCUGCUGUGAAAGCCCGGGGCUCAACCCCGGGUCUGCAGUGGGUACGGGCAGACUAGAGUGCAGUAGGGGAGACUGGAAUUCCUGGUGUAGCGGUGAAAUGCGCAGAUAUCAGGAGGAACACCGAUGGCGAAGGCAGGUCUCUGGGCUGUAACUGACGCUGAGGAGCGAAAGCAUGGGGAGCGAACAGGAUUAGAUACCCUGGUAGUCCAUGCCGUAAACGUUGGGCACUAGGUGUGGGGGACAUUCCACGUUUUCCGCGCCGUAGCUAACGCAUUAAGUGCCCCGCCUGGGGAGUACGGCCGCAAGGCUAAAACUCAAAGGAAUUUGACGGGGGCCCGCACAAGCGGCGGAGCAUGCGGAUUAAUUCGAUGCAACGCGGAGAACCUUACCAAGGCUUGACAUGAACCGGAAGACCUGGAAACAGGUCCCCCACUUGUGGCCGGUUUACAGGUGGUGCAUGGUUGUCGUCAGCUCGUGUCGUGAGAUGUUGGGUUAGUCCCGCACGAGCGCAACCCUCGUUCUAUGUUGCCAGCGCGUUAUGGCGGAAACUCAUAGAGACUGCUGGGUCAACCUCCGAAGGAUGUGGGACGACGUCGAAUCAUCAUGCCCUAUGUUCUUGGCUCACCUAUGCUACAUGACGGUACAAGCGUGGCGAUCCUGUGAGGUGAACCUAUAUCCCCAGAAAGCCGGU